This 253-nucleotide ribosomal RNA is filed under the name uncultured bacterium. Its description in RNAcentral is "partial 16S ribosomal RNA". It matches the Rfam family "Bacterial small subunit ribosomal RNA", at positions 524 to 776 of the family's 1533-position model. The record is from RNAcentral.
UACGAAGGGGGCUAGCGUUGUUCGGAUUUACUGGGCGUAAAGCGCACGUAGGCGGAUCGUUAAGUCGGGGGUGAAAUCCUGGAGCUCAACUCCAGAACUGCCUUCGAUACUGGCGAUCUUGAGUCCGGAAGAGGUGAGUGGAACUCCUAGUGUAGAGGUGGAAUUCGUAGGUAUUAGGAAGAACACCAGUGGCGAAGGCGGCUCACUGGUCCGGUACUGACGCUGAGGUGCGAAAGCGUGGGGAGCAAACAGG